RNAcentral lists this long non-coding RNA (556 nucleotides) under Capsella grandiflora. Its description in RNAcentral is "long non-coding RNA (CGRA_LNC000845)". Lineage: Eukaryota; Viridiplantae; Streptophyta; Magnoliopsida; Brassicales; Brassicaceae. The record is from RNAcentral.
AACAUUGGGUCUAAGUGAGACACCCUAACCUCGAAACUAAAACCACACCGGAAAAAAAAACAUUCCGGCGAAACUUCCGGAGAAAAAUCAACUUCACAAAAACACACUUAAAAAUGCUAACAAGAAACUUAACACAUUCUUAACAAUAAUUAAGCUAUAACAUAAAUCACAGGAGUACAUUUAUCUCAUUAUGUACUUUAUAGGAUCUGAGUCUCUGAAUCGCUCUCCAUUCAUCUACAUCCUUAUGCUAACGAUCUAGCUUUCUUGACUCCAAUGCUUGCAUCAAAAAUUACCGUCUGCAUCAUUCACCAAUCACCAUCUCUUAUUGGUACUUAAUCACAGUAAACUUGUAAGGAUUAUUUGAUGUUUAUAUUGAUCCCCUUCCGUUGUAACAUGGAGAGAUGGAUAAUUUCCAAGUGGUAUAGAUAAUUCCCACGUGCACGAUUAUAAAGCUUUCCAUGAGGUCAUCUUAGAAAAUUGUGACAUCUUCAUUGCCAAGGCUUUCAUUUGAUAAUAGCUUAAUGGGGUUAUCUAAGAAUCUCCGGUUGAUAUGCUU